CAGUAGCCGCGGUAAUACAGAGGGUGCGAGCGUUAAUCGGAUUUACUGGGCGUAAAGCGUGCGUAGGCGGCUUCUUAAGUCGGAUGUGAAAUCCCUGAGCUUAACUUAGGAAUUGCAUUCGAUACUGGGAAGCUAGAGUAUGGGAGAGGAUGGUAGAAUUCCAGGUGUAGCGGUGAAAUGCGUAGAGAUCUGGAGGAAUACUGAUGGCGAAGGCAGCCAUCUGGCCUAAUACUGACGCUGAGGUACGAAAGCAUGGGGAGCAAACAGGAUUAGAUACCCCGGUAGUCCCUGUCUCUUAUAC
Molecule: ribosomal RNA, 301 nt
Filed under: uncultured bacterium
Lineage: Bacteria
Description: partial 16S ribosomal RNA
Rfam family: Bacterial small subunit ribosomal RNA
Source: RNAcentral